AGCAGCCGCGGUAAUUCCAGCUCCAAUAGCGUAUAUUAAAGUUGUUGCAGUUAAAAAGCUCGUAGUUGAAUUUCGGGGUUAGUAGGUUGGUCAUGCCUCUGGUAUGUACUGGUCUCACUGAUUCCUCCUUCCUGAUGAGCCGUAAUGCCAUUAAUUUGGUGUUGCGGGGAAUUUGGACUGUUACUUUGAAGAAAUUAGAGUGUUUAAAGCAAGCUAACGCUUGAAUACAUUAGCAUGGAAUAAUGAAAUAGGACGUUCGAUCCUAUUUUGUUGGUUUCUAGGAUUGACGUAAUGAUUAAUAGGGAUAGUUGGGGGCAUUAGUAUUCAAUUGUCAGAGGUGAAAUUCUUGGAUUUAUUGAAGACUAACUACUGCGAAAGCAUUUGCCAAGGAUGUUUUCAUUAAUCAAGAACGAAAGUUAGGGGAUCGAAGACGAUCAGAUACCGUCGUAGUCUUAACCAUAAACUAUGCCGACUAGGGAUCGGAUGAUGUUAAUUUUUAAUGACUCAUU
RNAcentral lists this unclassified non-coding RNA (509 nucleotides) under uncultured Glomus. RNAcentral's name for it is "SSU rRNA". It matches the Rfam family "Eukaryotic small subunit ribosomal RNA", at positions 569 to 1080 of the family's 1831-position model. Lineage: Eukaryota; Fungi; Glomeromycota; Glomeromycetes; Glomerales; Glomeraceae. The record is from RNAcentral.